UACAGAGGUCCCAAGCGUUGUUCGGAUUCACUGGGCGUAAAGGGUGCGUAGGUGGCCAGGUAAGUUCGGUGUGAAAGCUCGGAGCUUAACUCCGAAAUGGCAUUGAAUACUAUCUGGCUGGAGGGUCGGAGGGGAGACUGGAAUUCUCGGUGUAGCAGUGAAAUGCGUAGAUAUCGAGAGGAACACCAGUGGCGAAGGCGAGUCUCUGGACGACUCCUGACACUGAGGCACGAAAGCCAGGGGAGCAAAAGGG
This 253-nucleotide ribosomal RNA is filed under the name uncultured bacterium. RNAcentral's name for it is "partial 16S ribosomal RNA". It matches the Rfam family "Bacterial small subunit ribosomal RNA", at positions 524 to 776 of the family's 1533-position model. The record is from RNAcentral.